RNAcentral lists this ribosomal RNA (497 nucleotides) under uncultured bacterium. RNAcentral's name for it is "partial 16S ribosomal RNA". It matches the Rfam family "Bacterial small subunit ribosomal RNA", at positions 28 to 507 of the family's 1533-position model. The record is from RNAcentral.
GAUGAACGCUGGCGGCGUGCCUAAUACAUGCAAGUCGAGCGAACAGACGAGGAGCUUGCUCCUCUGACGUUAGCGGCGGACGGGUGAGUAACACGUGGAUAACCUACCUAUAAGACUGGGAUAACUUCGGGAAACCGGAGCUAAUACCGGAUAACAUGUUGAACCGCAUGGUUCAACAGUGAAAGACGGUCUUGCUGUCACUUAUAGAUGGAUCCGCGCCGCAUUAGCUAGUUGGUAAGGUAACGGCUUACCAAGGCAACGAUGCGUAGCCGACCUGAGAGGGUGAUCGGCCACACUGGAACUGAGACACGGUCCAGACUCCUACGGGAGGCAGCAGUAGGGAAUCUUCCGCAAUGGGCGAAAGCCUGACGGAGCAACGCCGCGUGAGUGAUGAAGGUCUUCAGAUCGUAAAACUCUGUUAUUAGGGAAGAACAAAUGUGUAAGUAACUAUGCACGUCUUGACGGUACCUAAUCAGAAAGCCACGGCUAACUACGUG